UACCAGCACCCCGAGUGGUCGGGACGAUUAUUGGGCCUAAAGCAUCCGUAGCCGGUCCUGCAGGUCUUCCGUUAAAUCCAGCUGCUCAACAGAUGGGCUGCGGGGGAUACUACAGGGCUAGGAGGCGGGAGAGGCAAGCGGUACUUUAUGGGUAGGGGUAAAAUCCGUUGAUCCAUAGAAGACCACCAGUGGCGAAGGCGGCUUGCCAGAACGCGCUCGACGGUGAGGGAUGAAAGCUGGGGGAGCAAACCGG
RNAcentral lists this ribosomal RNA (253 nucleotides) under uncultured bacterium. Its description in RNAcentral is "partial 16S ribosomal RNA". It matches the Rfam family "Archaeal small subunit ribosomal RNA", at positions 474 to 727 of the family's 1478-position model. The record is from RNAcentral.